UAGUUGUAUGAGGUAACUGUGUCCUGAGGAGACAUAGAACAUGGUCCUCUGUCCUGAAGAGACUUUAAUGAAUACAGAAAUAUAGUUAAAUAAAGGGAAAUCAAGAAACCAAACAACAUAUUAAUAAAAAAAUCUGCUCUGUUUCAACAUCUCCUAAAAUUAAGCGAAUAUGGUAUAUCCUCAAAGUAUUCAAAUUUGGAAGUGACUACUAAGGUAAUAUUCCAGAAGGUAUCAAUCUGCUGCCUGACUGAGGUGACUGCUCUAUUUCUGAUCUACAGAGAUCCUGAUCAUAUGCAACUCUAGUCCCAAUGUAGAUACUAAAAUAAAAUGGAGGACUGUAAUGUAAACACUUUCUUCGUGGCCUUCCUUGCCUUAGAAGCUUCAACAUCAGUAGGACCAGCAGCAGUUUUGCUAAAAGAAAGCAUGCCAUUUGAAGAUGUAACUUAAGACAAAGCCCUGCCAAGGUGACUGUGAAAGCCCAAGUCCAACAGUCUGAGUCCCUGAGUGACUAUGAUGAACAAAGGCCUGCAACUAACCUGCACUGGACAUACAAUAUCAGCAAGAAAACUUUCCUGUGUGAUGCUGCUGAGAUUUUCAGAGGCUUCCAGAUCAAGAGGAGCCACAUCUGGACACAAUACAGAAAGCACUACACAUUUCCCAGAAACCUUGGACUGAGUUUAAUUACACUGAACAUGAUUUUGGGGUUGACACCCUUGAGGUGAAAUCAAGCAUUCUGCCUAUAGGAGGGAGUUUGAGCUGAACUGUUUUAGUCCUUAAGUGCUUUUAAAAUAUUUCCAGCUUUUUGACUUCCAGGCACAGAGAAAUUAGAUUCUUCAGUGGGACAUACUCUGGCUGAUGAAAAAGAAGUGCAAAGAAAGUGACUCAUAGCAUCUCCAGGUGGAAGCUGUAAGAGGCAGUGCACCAUUCACUACCUUUUGGUUCCUGCCUUGGAAAUCAUGGUUGGAGCUUCCAUCAGCCUGAGUCCCUGAG
Long non-coding RNA from Manis pentadactyla (Chinese pangolin), 990 nucleotides. RefSeq lists it as uncharacterized. The record is from RefSeq and is a predicted model, not a curated record. The transcript is spliced from 3 exons. Lineage: Eukaryota; Metazoa; Chordata; Mammalia; Pholidota; Manidae.